RNAcentral lists this ribosomal RNA (455 nucleotides) under uncultured bacterium. Its description in RNAcentral is "bacterial SSU rRNA". It matches the Rfam family "Bacterial small subunit ribosomal RNA", at positions 8 to 507 of the family's 1533-position model. The record is from RNAcentral.
AGAGUUUGAUCAUGGCUCAGAGCGAACGCUGGCGGCAGGCUUAACACAUGCAAGUCGAACGGGCGUAGCAAUACGUCAGUGGCAGACGGGUGAGUAACACGUGGGAACGCACCCUUUGGUUCGGAACAACACAGGGAAACUUGUGCUAAUACCGGAUAAGCCCUUACGGGGAAAGAUUUAUCGCCGAAGGAUCGGCCCGCGUCUGAUUAGCUUGUUGGUGAGGUAAUGGCUCACCAAGGCGACGAUCAGUAGCUGGUCUGAGAGGAUGAUCAGCCACACUGGGACUGAGACACGGCCCAGACUCCUACGGGAGGCAGCAGUGGGGAAUAUUGGACAAUGGGCGCAAGCCUGAUCCAGCCAUGCCGCGUGAGUGAUGAAGGCCCUAGGGUUGUAAAGCUCUUUUGGCGGGGAAGAUAAUGACGGUACCCGCAGAAUAAGCCCCGGCUAACUUCGUG